GGGUCAGUAGUGGAGAACCUUAUAUUGUCUGAAGAGAGGUGAUGACAUAAAUCAUACUCAAUGAAGUUACGCUGAGGCCC
Molecule: small nucleolar RNA, 80 nt
Organism: Chlorocebus sabaeus (green monkey)
Lineage: Eukaryota; Metazoa; Chordata; Mammalia; Primates; Cercopithecidae
Product: small nucleolar RNA SNORD115
Source: RefSeq, a predicted model, not a curated record